AGGAGCCGUAUGAGGUGAAAAUUUAAUGUACGGUUUUGUAGAGUGACAGUAAGGAUGAUUUAUCUUUCAACUUUUU
Molecule: non-coding RNA, 76 nt
Filed under: Olea europaea subsp. europaea
Lineage: Eukaryota; Viridiplantae; Streptophyta; Magnoliopsida; Lamiales; Oleaceae
Source: RNAcentral